GAUUGAACGCUGGCGGCAUGCCUAACACAUGCAAGUCGAACGGGAGUAGCAAUACUCUAGUGGCGGACGGGUGAGGAAUACGUAGGAAUUUGCCCUUAAGUGGGGGAGUAACCCGGGGAAACCCGGAUUAAUACCGCAUGACCUCGAAAGAG
Molecule: ribosomal RNA, 152 nt
Filed under: uncultured soil bacterium
Lineage: Bacteria
Description: partial 16S ribosomal RNA
Rfam family: Bacterial small subunit ribosomal RNA
Source: RNAcentral